AGCUCCAAUAGGAUAUAUCAAAGUUGUUGCAGUUAAAAAGCUCGUAGUUGAAUUUCUGGUGGGGUUAUUUGUGUUUAAGUUUUAGUUGGGCAACUAACUAUAACUUGAGCCACCCGCCAUAUUGUGGAAAUCUAUAUAAAGUUAAUGGUUUACUCUAUUGCUUUAUGUACCACUCAGUCACUGAGAGCAAAUUGGAGUGCUCAAAGCAGGCUUUAUUAGCUUUGAACAUUUUAGCUUGGAAUGACAAGAUAUGACUAUUGUUGUAUUUUGUUGGUUAUACAAUGAAAGUAAUGAUUAACAGGAACAGUUGCGGGGGUACUCGUAUUGAAAGGUCAGAGGUGAAAUUUUUGGAUUCUUUCAAGACGAACGACUGCGAAAGCAUUUACCAAGGAUGUUUUCA
Molecule: ribosomal RNA, 400 nt
Filed under: uncultured eukaryote
Lineage: Eukaryota
Description: SSU rRNA
Rfam family: Eukaryotic small subunit ribosomal RNA
Source: RNAcentral